RNAcentral lists this transfer RNA (67 nucleotides) under uncultured Ruminococcus sp. It matches the Rfam family "tRNA". From Rfam's summary of the family: Transfer RNA (tRNA) molecules are approximately 80 nucleotides in length. Their secondary structure includes four short double-helical elements and three loops (D, anti-codon, and T loops). Further hydrogen bonds mediate the characteristic L-shaped molecular structure. tRNAs have two regions of fundamental functional importance: the anti-codon, which is responsible for specific mRNA codon recognition, and the 3' end, to which the tRNAs corresponding amino acid is attached (by aminoacyl-tRNA synthetases). tRNAs cope with the degeneracy of the genetic code in two manners: having more than one tRNA (with a specific anti-codon) for a particular amino acid; and 'wobble' base-pairing, i.e. permitting non-standard base-pairing at the 3rd anti-codon position. RNAcentral also lists the same sequence under 2 other names. Lineage: Bacteria; Bacillati; Bacillota; Clostridia; Eubacteriales; Oscillospiraceae. The record is from RNAcentral.
UGCUAUGGCUCAGUAGGUAGAGCACAUCCUUGGUAAGGAUGAGGUCACCGGUUCAAAUCCGGUUAGC